CCUACGGGUGGCAGCAGUCGAGAAUCAUUCACAAUGGGGGAAACCCUGAUGGUGCGACGCCGCGUGGGGGAAUGAAGGUCUUCGGAUUGUAAACCCCUGUCAUGUGGGAGCAAAUUAAAAAGAUAGUACCACAAGAGGAAGAGACGGCUAACUCUGUGCCAGCAGACGCGGUAAUACAGAGGUCUCAAGCGUUGUUCGGAAUCACUGGGCGUAAAGCGUGCGUAGGCUGUUUCGUAAGUCGUGUGUGAAAGGCGCGGGCUCAACCCGCGGACGGCACAUGAUACUGCGAGACUAGAGUAAGGGAGGGGGAACCGGAAUUCUCGGUGUAGCAGUGAAAUGCGUAGAUAUCGAGAGGAACACUCGUGGCGAAGGCGGGUUCCUGGACAUUAACUGACGCUGAGGCACGAAGGCCAGGGGAGCGAAAGGGAUUAGAUACCCCUGUAGUC
RNAcentral lists this ribosomal RNA (446 nucleotides) under uncultured bacterium. Its description in RNAcentral is "partial 16S ribosomal RNA". It matches the Rfam family "Bacterial small subunit ribosomal RNA", at positions 338 to 795 of the family's 1533-position model. The record is from RNAcentral.